GUCGGUGAUGAAAACCUGGAAUAGGAAGUGCCGUCAGAUGUGACAACUGACGAUUUUUUUCAAAUCCAUUUCUCUGAGU
Molecule: small nucleolar RNA, 79 nt
Filed under: Kryptolebias marmoratus (mangrove rivulus)
Lineage: Eukaryota; Metazoa; Chordata; Actinopteri; Cyprinodontiformes; Rivulidae
Description: Small nucleolar RNA SNORD49 (ENSKMAG00000019386.1)
Rfam family: Small nucleolar RNA SNORD49
About the family: U49 belongs to the C/D class of snoRNA which contain the C (UGAUGA) and D (CUGA) box motifs. Most of the members of the box C/D family function in directing site-specific 2'-O-methylation of substrate RNAs.
Source: Rfam by way of RNAcentral